Prionailurus viverrinus (fishing cat) is the source of this 534-nucleotide long non-coding RNA. RefSeq lists it as uncharacterized. NCBI's taxonomy places the organism in Eukaryota, Metazoa, Chordata, Mammalia, Carnivora, Felidae. The record is from RefSeq and is a predicted model, not a curated record. The transcript has 2 exons.
CUAAAUGCUCAUCAAGAAUCUCAGAGUAAUUUGGAUGAGGCAGGACCGAAAUGUGACUAUAAUUUAAAUGAGUGUAACUGUCAACACUUGCAUUUAAUCAGAAUCUCUCGUGAUGCUUUUUAGAAUUUACAGAUGUCGGGGUCCUCCCCUCAAUCUGCUGAACUGAUUUAUCUGGUGCCCAGGAAGUGGAUUUUCACAAAGCACAAGUAAUCCAAACGUGUGCCUCUAGUUAAGAACCAUGGCCAGAAACAAAGGACCUCAGAAGCAAAAUGCAUACCUAGUGGAUGGAUCUUGGUUUCUAAAUGUCACAGCCCCGAGAAAAUGAACCCUGUCCACCAGGAACCAUGAUCUUGGACUUCUCCCCUCCAGAACUGUGAGACAAUAAAUUUGUUUUCUGAGCCGCCCAAUUUAUGACACUCUGUUGUGGCAGUCCUAGCAAACUCAUACAUUAUCCUAACCAACAGAAGUCUGGCUGGAGUAACCUCAGCUUAAUCCAGGACAAUAUUCUUACCAUCCAGAUAACAGAACUACACA